AUAGAUAAUAAACUUUAAUUCAUAGAUCAGUAUAAUAUUAUAUAGCUUUAUUUGUUAUUUCAUUAUUUGUCAAUAUUAUAAUAUUAGUGUAAUAUAUUUAAUAUUUACAUCAUUUAUUUUACGUAGCUCGUGGAAAACUCUAAUGUCUACGUAUGUCACAGCAAUUAAAUUAAUAAGCUUGUUUUGAUAAGUAUCUAAAGCAGAAGUUUGACUUUGGCAACUAAAUAGGCAUGUAUUAUUUGUUUUAUAUAAACUGGAUUUCAAUUUAUUUAAUAAAUACAAUUUAUUUCUAGUACUACUAAAAUAAAUUGGUUCAUGUGCCCUAAAUAUUCUUUCCACUUCCUCACAUAUAGUUUUCACACUUUUACUAGGAAUUAUCAACCCUCCUCGAUUCUUCAAAGUUAUUAAAAUAUUUUUAUUAUCAUUAUUACAUCCAGGUUUUAUCAAGAAGUUUGGCAAGAUUGGCAAUCAACUUUUUUCAACAACUUUUUCACUACAAAUCCAGCUAUAUAAUGACAUGUGUCUUCCAUAUAUUUAGUCAUAUUUAUGUACGUUUCAAAGUAAUCGUGAUCAUCUAGAUGUCUUUCUGGUAACCAAUGACUAUUUAGAUUGAACAUAACAUUUUUCUCAAUUUUACUUGUAUUUACUGAUAAAUUUUUUGUAUUUUCUAACAUUGAGCAAUUUCCAAAUACAGAACCCACAACUUCAUUGUGAA
Molecule: long non-coding RNA, 715 nt
Organism: Aphis gossypii (cotton aphid)
Lineage: Eukaryota; Metazoa; Arthropoda; Insecta; Hemiptera; Aphididae
Exons: 2
Source: RefSeq, a predicted model, not a curated record